AUCUACCAUGGCAGAGAUUGUAGAACAAGUUCAGGAGAGAGAGGCAGCACAUGUAGGUUACUGUAUAUCACAGUCAUGUAGUAUCAGCUCAUCUUUCUUUUUGUGUUUGGUAUAAAUUUUCUCUUUUUCAAUUGUCUCUCUCAGGCACGAGGAGAGCCUUAUCGGCCUCCUAGCAGCCUCUCAGCACCUGUGACUCGCUUUGAUGGACGUCCUCGCGCCCGUGACCGCCCUAAACCCAGGAGGAGGCCCCGUCCAAAAGAGCCCGAAGAGACUCGACGUUCCCGCUCAGCCCCAGCAACUGGGGCCCCAACAACACCCCAGCCGCCUUCACACACUGCCCAUAACGAAGGAUUCCUCUACCGCAAAAAGGCCACCAGUUCUGACCUCGAAGCUCAGCAGAGGAGCCCAAACAGCAAGUCGUGGGUGAACGUAUACUGUGUGCUGAAAGAGGGACAGCUGAUGUUCUACAAGGAUGCUAGGAAUCACACCACAACGUACAAUGGAGAACCUCCCGUCGACCUCACUAACUGCUCAUUUGAUCCUUCAAUGGGAUACAAGAAAAAGAAAAAUGUCUUCAUUCUUCAAGUAAACGAUGGAAACAACUUUGUGUUCCAUGCAAAAGAUGAGGAGGACCUAAAGGCCUGGACUUCCAACAUCACCACCUGUAUAACUGAGCAUGAGGCCAUGGUCAAGUGGGACAAGCCCGGCACCUCCUCCAUGGAUGGCGACCGCUCAGAGAGGAAGGAGAAGUCGGAAGGGGACGCAGAUGCCAGGUCAGAGAGGUCUGAGCUCGCAGAGGGGGAGGAGAGGUCUGAGAAGGAGAGGUCAGAGAAGGGCGACGGCUCUGAGAAGUUAGACACAUCGGAAAUUGCUGACAAGUUGGAGGGUGGGGCAGGGGGGUCCAGCACCUCUGGAAAGAGCAAAUGAGGACCCCCUGUUGUGUUUCAAUGGUACUUACUGACAAAAGACAUAGGAGGCAGUGGGUGGGAGGUAAGGAUGGAGAGCAUGUGCAGUUAGGUUUGCAGAUCCUCAGUGACAGAGCUGGAACACACUGAGGCCACGGUCCAUGGACUGACUAUUGUAACUGUGACAGACUAAUCUCUCAGCCCCUCCCCUUCACCCAGGCAAUACAUCAGUGCUUGCAUUGUGCCACCUGCUGGUAGAUAGGAGGUUGGCCCAGACAGACAGACAGACAGACAGACAGACAGACGGACGGACGGACAGAUGGACUCCAACAAUUGGUCCCAGGAAUUAGUCACUGUUACAUCCCAUUGUUGAUCGUUUAAUCUCUUGGAUUCACAGCAUCCUUCUGUAUGUAUCUUUGACUGAAAAUGUAAUGCUCUGUCUCUCUAGACAAACCCAAGAAGUGGUGAAUGAAAUGUUUCACAAUAUUAAAAAAAGAAAAAGAAAAAAAAAGUUUUUUGAAGCAAUAUACUUUUUUAUUUCUUCUCUUUGUUAGAGAGAGAAAAAGGGGAAACAGAAACAAAAAGUAAUGUAAGAAUCAAAUGUAAACUCUAUGAUUUGUCACAUCCAUGUAAGCUUACUCCAGGCAGUUGUGCACCUUAGACACCUGACACAUCUGUAUACUAAGCAUAACAACAUUUAAUCCCAUCACACAGCUAGCUUUGAAUCAUGUUAAUAUAAUGGAAUGCUGGUGUUACCACCUGACAUAAUCAGUGUCAAUGAAUACACAGAUUCUUUCUUUUCGGUUAUUAUUAAUAUUAUUCAUAUGAUUUGUCCACAAUGAGCCAUGUCAAGAAAAAAAAACAGAUUUUAAUCCAUUAACCCCAAGGUGUGUUCAGAGUGGCAAUGCUCAGAGUAUCACUCAGCCUGUGUGACACAAUGCCUUUGUAUACAUGACAAAAAUCCGAUCAUUGCAUGAAAUAGUCUAGUGCACCUGUUAAACUUGCCUUUUUUAUGUUCUUGACAUAAGUUGAG
Long non-coding RNA from Parambassis ranga (Indian glassy fish), 1938 nucleotides. The record is from Ensembl. Lineage: Eukaryota; Metazoa; Chordata; Actinopteri; Ambassidae.